This 334-nucleotide unclassified non-coding RNA is filed under the name soil metagenome. Its description in RNAcentral is "partial contains 5.8S ribosomal RNA, internal transcribed spacer 2, and large subunit ribosomal RNA". The stretch from base 1 to 120 matches the Rfam family "5.8S ribosomal RNA", at positions 35 to 154 of the family's 154-position model. The record is from RNAcentral.
GAUGAAGAACGUAGCGAAAUGCGAUACGUAAUGUGAAUUGCAGAAUUCAGUGAAUCAUCGAAUCUUUGAACGCACAUUGCGCCUGCCAGCACUCUGGCAGGCAUGCCUGUUCGAGCGUCAUUUCAACCAUCAAGCCCAAGGCUUGCGUUGGAGCCCUGCGGCUGCCGCAGGCCCCUAAAAGCAGUGGCGGGCUCGCUAUCACACCGAGUGCAGUAGAUUACUCUUCGCUCAGGGCGUGUGGCGGGUUCCAGCCGUGAAACCCCCUACUUCUCAAGGUUGACCUCGGAUCAGGUAGGAAUACCCGCUGAACUUAAGCAUAUCAAUAAGCGGAGGA